GCUUCUGUUGCACUAAGCUGGAUGUAGAGUGAAUGAGCAGGUUGUAGGUCAAAUGCCAUGGAUUCUUGAUUCUUAUCAAGAUUUAUUAAAUUUCUCUUGAAUAAAUGUUUCUCAAUUUGCUAUAAGCCAUAGGAAAACUUUCAGGCUUUAAAAUUUUAAACCCAUUGGAUAAAAUGGAAUUCAUUCUCCCUCCCUCCUUCCUUUACUUCCUCCCUUCUUGCCAGAAUUCCUUCUUUUCCCACUAACUUCCUUUCUUCUUUCUUUCCUUUUUUUCUUUCUUCCUCCAACACAUGUUUGUUAGGGCCUCUAGCUCUACAUAGCCAUAUUAAACUCUUUGGAGAAAUAACUUGCAAAGACUGGAGAUCUAAGAACUCUGAAUGUGGGAACUGAAUGCCAGAUCUUGGAUUCUCAGUGGGAAGUGUGGCCUGGAGAAGAAGUUUACAAUGUUACAUGUUUCUGAGGACCUUUCAUACUUCAAGCUCAAGUCCAGCUUGCCAAGUUCCAGUUUUUAUCUGAUCAUCUUUGCAUCAAUAAUACAUGAAGCUGAGAUCUUCUGAAAAGAGGAUACUAUUCUCCCCCCUCACUGAAUGCUUUGCUUUUGCCAGCACCAACAUUGAUUUGGAUUUAAUAAUCUGUAGUCCUUUUGGUUUGAUCACACUUCUCAGGAAACCCCAAAAAGAGCCAUGGCCACAUAUCCACCAACAUGGAAUCAAUUGCUCCUUCUUAAUAAAUGCAAUCAUUGAACACCUGAUCCAUACAUUGCUUGUUACGUGUAAUUGAUUAAAGUUUCGACAUAGUUAAGAUUUUAGUGGCCCCAGGUUUUCCAUAUUCAGAUCCUCUCAACCAAAAAAAUGACAAUCAACAAAACCUAUGCCGUAGAAGGAUGAUGUUUCUGAUUGUAAUUCCUUGUCACCUCCAUCAUCACACAUUUCGUCAUACUCUGCUCUUAAACGAUGGUAGCAGUUCUGCUGCUCUCAGGCUGCUCUCGCUCCAGCUGUUCACGUUAAAGACCACUGUGUGAGUAA
Molecule: long non-coding RNA, 1025 nt
Organism: Acinonyx jubatus (cheetah)
Lineage: Eukaryota; Metazoa; Chordata; Mammalia; Carnivora; Felidae
Exons: 3
Source: RefSeq, a predicted model, not a curated record